Molecule: ribosomal RNA, 516 nt
Filed under: uncultured bacterium
Lineage: Bacteria
Description: partial 16S ribosomal RNA
Rfam family: Bacterial small subunit ribosomal RNA
Source: RNAcentral
AACGAACGCUGGCGGCGUGCUUAACACAUGCAAGUCGAACGCGAAAGGGGCUUCGGUCCUGAGUAGAGUGGCGCACGGGUGAGUAACGCGUAGAUAACCUGUCCUGGUGUCUGGAAUAAUAUCUCGAAAGGGGUGCUAAUACCGGAGAUUCUUGCUUUCUAUAAGGUAUGCAAGGAAAGGUGGCCUCUGGAACAAGCUACUGCACGAGGAGGGGUCUGCGUACCAUUAGGUAGUAGGUGGGGUAAUGGCCUACCUAGGCGACGAUGGUUAGCGGGUCUGAGAGGAUGAUCCGCCACACUGGUACUGGAACACGGACCAGACUCCUACGGGAGGCAGCAGUGAGGAAUAUUGCGCAAUGGGGGCAACCCUGACGCAGCGACGCCGCGUGAGUGAGGAAGGCCUUCGGGUCGUAAAGCUCUGUCAAAGGGGAAGAAGUGCAUGGUGGUUAAUAUCUGUCAUGUUUGACGGUACCCUUAAAGGAAGCACCGGCUAACUCCGUGCCAGCCGCCGCCGUAA